UACGGAAGGCAGCAGUGGGGAAUAUUGCACAAUGGGCGAAAGCCUGAUGCAGCUAUGCCGCGUGUAUGAAGAAGGCCUUAGGGUUGUAAAGUACUUUCAUCGGGGAGGAAAAAACAAAACUAAUAAUUUUAUUUCUUGACGUUACCCGAAAAAGAAGCACCGGCUAACUCCGUGCCAGCAGCCGCGGUAAUACGGAGGGUGCUAGCGUUAAUCAGAAUUACUGGGCGUAAAGAGCACGUAGGUGGUUUUUUUAAGUCAGAUGUGAAAUCCCUGGGCUUAACCUGGAACUGCAUUUUGAAACUGAAAUACUAGAGUAUCGUAGAGGGAGGUAGAAUUCUAGGUGUAGCGGUGAAAUGCGUAGAUAUCUGGAGGAAUACCUGUGGCGAAAGCGGCCUCCUAAACGAAUACUGACACUGAGGUGCGAAAGCGUGGGGAGCAAACAGAAUUAGAUACC
RNAcentral lists this ribosomal RNA (454 nucleotides) under uncultured bacterium. RNAcentral's name for it is "bacterial SSU rRNA". It matches the Rfam family "Bacterial small subunit ribosomal RNA", at positions 340 to 786 of the family's 1533-position model. The record is from RNAcentral.